CUUUGGUUGAACCUACUGGAUGGAGAAGGAGCUUGGUAAAGGAGCUUCUGUGGAGCAGAACAGAGCGAGGAAAGGGCAGGGAAAAAUGGAAGUGUGGACGGGCAUGGCCUGCCUAGAGUGAGCAUCUUUGAAUAGAUUGUCUUCAAUGUCAAUCAUUGCCACUGUCCCUCGGGCUGAGGCAUGGGUGGACCAGGAGCUGGACUGGCCAGUGGACACUCGCAGCCAUUUGGGAGGGCAAGGGGAUGCAAUGUUUGUCCACACAGGUACCUCCUGUGACUGGCACAGCAGCCCUUGGUGAUAAUCUCCAUGGGCCAGAUAAACAUGACCCUGUGUACUUCCAUUUCACUGCUCUGAUUCUUUCUUUCAGAAGCCUCCUACCACCCUCUGAGAAGAUUUUCCAGGCAAAACCCAGAUCUGCUGUAGUGACUUCAGAAGAAAGAGGUUUGAAGGAGGAUGAGAAGCCGAUAGCCAACGGUAUGUGUGUGAAAACACAUGGCAGACGUGUGCUCUCCAGCGUUCUGGCCAAGCCUAGCUGGAGAAAGCAGGGCAUGGGACAGGACAGGGAAGGACAAUGAAGGGUAAAAUAGGCAGUGGAGAGCAGGAGACUCCUACCAGUGGCUGUUCCAUGAAUCGUUUUUUUCUUUCAAAGGCCCAGUUUCCACAGAUGGAGGUAUUAACUAGGAUUAGAUAGGGGUGGGGAAUGAAACCAUGGGCAGAAACUCAGCAUCCAGCCGCCACUUAGAGAGAGCCUGCUGUGAGCCAGGCACUAUGCUGUAAACUGGGAUGUGAAGGUGGCGGAUACAGCCCUGCUGAGGCCAGAGGAAGCACUGCUGCUGAAAUGACAGAAACUUUCUUCUCAUACCCAUCCUGUGCUCCUUUUCCUUUCUUCCUUGGAGGCACUGUCCGAAGUGCUUUAUACACAUUAAUUCACUUAAUUCUUGAAAUAAUUUCCUAAGGAAGGAACUAAUAUUAUCCCACUUUACAGAUGAGUAAACUGAGGCACAUAGUGUGACAUGCACAAGAGCAGUGAAAAGCGUAAGGAAUGGGCUCCAAGAAUGACAUGCAAUCCGAUAGCUUCUUUUUCUAUAAUUCUCAUAAGAAAAUAAGUGUAAAGCACUUAGCCUGCACCUGGACACACUAAAUGCUCAGUACACGUUGGCUAUUAGUGCUGCAGAUAUUACUGUCCGAAGGAACUAUUGUCAGGCUCAUGUUAUUCAAUCUUUUCUCCUCUCUUUAGAAAUGGCAUUCAGUGUACUUCACUAAAGUUGUUGAGGCUUGAUAUGUUUUUAAAACCUAUUUUAGAGUAUGCCCUGGUUAUCUACCACCGCCUAAUAAACCGCCCUGAAAUUUGUUAUGCUCGCAGACUCUGUGAA
Molecule: long non-coding RNA, 1373 nt
Filed under: Callithrix jacchus (white-tufted-ear marmoset)
Lineage: Eukaryota; Metazoa; Chordata; Mammalia; Primates; Cebidae
Description: lncRNA (ENSCJAG00000074634.1)
Source: RNAcentral